Molecule: non-coding RNA, 542 nt
Organism: Danio rerio (zebrafish)
Lineage: Eukaryota; Metazoa; Chordata; Actinopteri; Cypriniformes; Danionidae
Source: RefSeq, a predicted model, not a curated record
AAGGAAAAAGACGUUGAGGCUGUUUAGACAGAACAGUAUUAAUAGCGGCAAACCAAACUUUUCUCCUGUAGCAGCACUUCAUUAUAAUUCAGACAGAAUGACAGAUCAGAAACGGAUCAUUUUACCAAACCAGCAGAAAGACAAUUUUCUGAAAAAAAUGUUUUCAGAAAAAAUUAAAAACUUCAAAAUAAUUUUCAAAACUCAAAAGUAUCCAAAUUCUGUUUCAGCAUAUACUUAAAUUAUAAAGACUGUAUUAUGGUGUAUUAGAUUUGGAUUCUAUUAAACAGUAUAUAAUUUAUUUUAAAAUAUAAUCUGAAUGGGACUAUGCUGUUUGUUUAUUGUAUGCCACAAAUGGUUUAUGAUAAAUGUUAAACAUUAAUGUUAAACUGUCACGGUUCUAGUAUGACCAAUUUUCAAUGUAGUAUCAUUACAAAUAACAUAAAUUAAAUUUAUUAAAGGUCAUUUUGUUGUUGCAAAUGCACAAUUCACAGAAAGAAAUGAAAGCUUUAAAAACAUGAAAAAUAAAAACAAGCUGAAAACUG